CAGCAGCCGCGGUAACACGUAGGGUGCGAGCGUUGUCCGGAAUUACUGGGCGUAAAGAGCUCGUAGGUGGUUUGUCGCGUUGUUCGUGAAAACCGGAGGCUUAACCUCUGGCGUGCGGGCGAUACGGGCAGACUUGAGUACUGCAGGGGAGACUGGAAUUCCUGGUGUAGCGGUGGAAUGCGCAGAUAUCAGGAGGAACACCGGUGGCGAAGGCGGGUCUCUGGGCAGUAACUGACGCUGAGGAGCGAAAGCGUGGGGAGCGAACAGGAUUAGAUACCCGUGUAGUCCCUGUCUCUUAUAC
Molecule: ribosomal RNA, 301 nt
Filed under: uncultured bacterium
Lineage: Bacteria
Description: partial 16S ribosomal RNA
Rfam family: Bacterial small subunit ribosomal RNA
Source: RNAcentral